Triticum urartu is the source of this 1250-nucleotide non-coding RNA. The record is from RefSeq and is a predicted model, not a curated record. NCBI's taxonomy places the organism in Eukaryota, Viridiplantae, Streptophyta, Magnoliopsida, Poales, Poaceae.
UGGUGAUGGUCUGAUGGAUCUAGGAGGAUUGAUAGUUUGUAGCAAUAUUGUAGAAUGAGAUGUUUAUUUCAUUUUAUUUGAAAUGGAUGAGUGCUCUGCAUAUUUGUUAGGAGAGAAUCCAUGUUUCAAACGUCUGUUGCCAGAUAAGUCAAGAUUUGUUAGUAGUUGAUGCAAAGGAGGAGGACUUGUUGGGUUGUGGUGACGUCCUCGGCCUAAUUGAUGGAGAAGCAAUCCCUCAUCUCAAUGGUCGAUGGUCCUGUGAUAAAUCCCGGCCUAAUCUCUCAUCGGUCACAUAGAGCUUGAGAAAAUCACCUCCAUGCAUGUAUGAAAUCCCAAUGACAGUUGAAAAAUAAAAUUGGAAGUUUGGGAUGAUGAUCUAUGAUAUUUAUUACUUAUUGAUAGAGCUGACAUGUGAUUUAAAUGCUAAUGAGGGUAGUUUAGGUUUCAUUGUCUUUAAUAAUUUUUGGCUUGGCCGUCAGGGUACUGCAAUGCUAUGGGUUGAUAAAGAAAGAAGGGAAACAAACGAGAAAGCAAGACAGAAUUGGCAGAAUCAAGACAAAGGACGUACCCUGCAAUGAAUUGAGAGUCGCUACUGGAAUAUUUCUUUAUUUAUUUUUGUUAAUCUUUUUCUGGGACUCCAAUUUGUUCACUUGAUGUUGAUAGAUGUUUUCGAGGGAUCUCAUACUGUUUUUCUGCCAGACCGCAUACAUCCUGAGACUCUUGUUUUGGACCUUCACGUUGUUCACUAGAUGGUUUUUCUAGAUUCUGCCGCCGAAGAUGAAGAGAGUGCUGUUGUGUUUCUUCAGAGCAAAAUGGCAGAGUUGCCUCAACGUAUCUAAGGUCCCACUGAACCAGGUUGAGAAGUGGAACAAGCAGAGGGAGAAUGAGACAUUUGCAGGGCCCCUCGAAAUCGACUGUUUGAGAGUCUCCUCGGUUGCUUUUGUGUCUACGCUACUACUGACUUGUAGUUGGAAUUUAUGCUCCUGUCAUGUACUCUCUUCCAACAAUCGCUGCAGAACAUCAAGUGAUGCUUUUCUCUAUGUUGCAUAAAUAGUUCAGCAUGCUUAUAUAUUCUCAGCAUGCUUAAAUGUACGCAUGUCUUGCCUCGAACUUGUGAAUGCCGAGAACCUAUGAGACAUUUUUGGUUCUAAGUCAUGCUGAUGUGAGAGAAUAUGUUGUUGUUAUGUGACAGCGCAAUUAUGUGAUGAUAUAUUGAUUCCAAGUCAAGAGAAUUAUGUUGUUCAUGUGAA